Molecule: long non-coding RNA, 852 nt
Filed under: Musa acuminata (dwarf banana)
Lineage: Eukaryota; Viridiplantae; Streptophyta; Magnoliopsida; Zingiberales; Musaceae
Description: long non-coding RNA (MACU_LNC005627)
Source: RNAcentral
UCCGAGGCUGCAGACUGCAGGGACUUCUUGGGCAAAUCUCUUCACCGGUAGGUUCGUAUCGGAAGUGAGUAUUCCCGUACCAUGUCACCCAAGUCGUCGCGAACGGCAUGGACGUGAUCGAAACCAUGUCGGUGAUAGGGUUUGGUGCAAUCCGGAGAUUGAUAGGCCACGGCGUGGCUUCCCGCCUUACCUGACGCUCUAUAAGACCUGCAAUCCGGAGGACCACGGCUCCAGAACCGGGUACAUGAUGAGGUUCAACGCCUUGUCCUGAUACCACAAUACUCUGCUCCGGCGGAAGCAUCAUCAAUCCUUUCAAAUGCGGUGAGUCUUCUCCUCCUCCUCUGUUCUACAUAGAAGCGAUCAUAUGAUCACUAUGGUUAAUACAACAAACCGCAUUUAAGGUGUUCGAUCAUAUGUCUAGUCGAAAAGGAAAACAUGACGGCUGUGUUUCAUGGAGGCUAGGAAUAGUUUGUUCUCGGUAGUACUCAUGACUUUGCAGUGUCACAUGUGCACUUGGUCCAAGGAUCUACGGAUCCAUUCACAUGUCAAUGAACGGCUCUGAUAUAGGGAAUCGGAAGGACCUGCUCACUUCACACCGGUAGGAGCUCGAAGUACAAGCUUACCUCCUGGAAGUAUGUGUACACCACCACAGUUGUGUAUUCGGUCUCACUCUCCUCUCGAUUUUGACUCUAUUUCCACAGCUUCCACUUUUAAGAUCACAGACACACUGUGAUCAUGACUCCAAAUCACGAGACCUCGUCAGCUAUACCUCUCUAGGAAUUGGUGGUGCCAACCACUGCAACCUUCUCCAUUAUCAGCUUUUAACGCUUUAUCUGAUGGGUUCUGCAACAG